This 78-nucleotide Y RNA is filed under the name Tupaia belangeri chinensis (Chinese tree shrew). Its description in RNAcentral is "Tupaia chinensis (Chinese tree shrew) Y RNA". It matches the Rfam family "Y RNA", at positions 8 to 85 of the family's 96-position model. From Rfam's summary of the family: Y RNAs are components of the Ro ribonucleoprotein particle (Ro RNP), in association with Ro60 and La proteins. The Y RNAs and Ro60 and La proteins are well conserved, but the function of the Ro RNP is not known. The record is from Rfam by way of RNAcentral. Lineage: Eukaryota; Metazoa; Chordata; Mammalia; Scandentia; Tupaiidae.
CCGAUGGUAGUGGGUUAUCAGAACUUAUUAACAUUAGUGUCACUAACGUUGGUAUACCACCCCCCACUGCUAAAUUUG